RNAcentral lists this ribosomal RNA (409 nucleotides) under Acinetobacter sp. RG42. RNAcentral's name for it is "bacterial SSU rRNA". It matches the Rfam family "Bacterial small subunit ribosomal RNA", at positions 958 to 1368 of the family's 1533-position model. The record is from RNAcentral. Lineage: Bacteria; Pseudomonadati; Pseudomonadota; Gammaproteobacteria; Moraxellales; Moraxellaceae.
AACUCGAAGAACGUUACCUGGCCUUGACAUAGUAGAAACUUUCCAGAGAUGGAUUGGUGCCUUCGGGAAUCUACAUACAGGUGCUGCAUGGCCGUCGUCAGCUCGUGUCGUGAGAUGUUGGGUUAAGUCCCGCAACGAGCGCAACCCUUUUCCUUACUUGCCAGCAUUUCGGAUGGGAACUUUAAGGAUACUGCCAGUGACAAACUGGAGGAAGGCGGGGACGACGUCAAGUCAUCAUGGCCCUUACGGCCAGGGCUACACACGUGCUACAAUGGUCGGUACAAAGGGUUGCUACCUAGCGAUAGGAUGCUAAUCUCAAAAACCCGAUCGUAGUCCGGAUUGGAGUCUGCAACUCGACUCCAUGAAGUCGGAAUCGCUAGUAAUCGCGGAUCAGAAUGCCGCGGGAAUA